ACGCUGGCGGCAGGCCUAACACAUGCAAGUCGAGCGGUAGAGAGAAGCUUGCUUCUCUUGAGAGCGGCGGACGGGUGAGUAAUGCCUAGGAAUCUGCCUGGUAGUGGGGGAUAACGUUCGGAAACGGACGCUAAUACCGCAUACGUCCUACGGGAGAAAGCAGGGGACCUUCGGGCCUUGCGCUAUCAGAUGAGCCUAGGUCGGAUUAGCUAGUUGGUGAGGUAAUGGCUCACCAAGGCGACGAUCCGUAACUGGUCUGAGAGGAUGAUCAGUCACACUGGAACUGAGACACGGUCCAGACUCCUACGGGAGGCAGCAGUGGGGAAUAUUGGACAAUGGGCGAAAGCCUGAUCCAGCCAUGCCGCGUGUGUGAAGAAGGUCUUCGGAUUGUAAAGCACUUUAAGUUGGGAGGAAGGGCAGUUACCUAAUACGUGAUUGUUUUGACGUUACCGACAGAAUAAGCACCGGCUAACUCUGUGCCAGCAGCCGCGGUAAUACAGAGGGUGCAAGCGUUAAUCGGAAUUACUGGGCGUAAAGCGCGCGUAGGUGGUUUGUUAAGUUGGAUGUGAAAUCCCCGGGCUCAACCUGGGAACUGCAUUCAAAACUGACUGACUAGAGUAUGGUAGAGGGUGGUGGAAUUUCCUGUGUAGCGGUGAAAUGCGUAGAUAUAGGAAGGAACACCAGUGGCGAAGGCGACCACCUGGACUGAUACUGACACUGAGGUGCGAAAGCGUGGGGAGCAAACAGGAUUAGAU
Molecule: ribosomal RNA, 755 nt
Filed under: uncultured bacterium
Lineage: Bacteria
Description: bacterial SSU rRNA
Rfam family: Bacterial small subunit ribosomal RNA
Source: RNAcentral